CUAUGCAAUAUCCUCCGAUAUCUCGAUGUGUUCAAAACAAAGAAAAGCCAAGUCAAGCAGCGACGGUAACAAUAAUAUGUUUUUUUCACAGCUUUAAUUUUAAGAAGCAGACAGGUAUGAGGAUCAAUGAAAAAACUUGUGUUAUCGGAACUAAUGUGGUGUUGGUACCUUACAAAGAAUUUCAUGUGCCAAGAUACCAUGAAUGGAUGAAGUCUACCGAGUUGCAGGAGUUGACGGCAUCAGAACCACUAUCUCUCGAUGAGGAGUAUGAGAUGCAGAAGAGCUGGUAUGAAGAUGAAAACAAAUGUACAUUCAUCAUACUGGACAAGACCAAAUGGGCUUCAAGCACUAAUGAAAUUGAAAGCAUGUGUGGAGAUGUCAAUCUGUUCUUCAAUGAUCAUGAAGUGCCCUCUCAAGCUGAGAUAGAGAUAAUGGUAGCAGAAUCAUCAUGUCGUGGAAAGGGAUAUGGCAAGGAGGCUCUCCUGAUCAUGAUGUACUAUGGUGUGGAUUUCUUGAAAGUUUCCAGAUUUAUUGCUAAGAUUGGGGAGAAGAACACAGUCAGUCUUGGCCUCUUCAAAAAACUUGGAUUUCAAGAGGUAUCUGUCAGCAAAGUCUUUCAAGAGGUGACCCUUGAUCUUGAGGUCAAAGGUCAAUUCCAUGACUGGCUAAAGGAACAGAUGAACCACUUGCAGAUUGCAGUGUACUCCCCAAAAAGGUGACAUCAUCAGUAUAGCAGUUUGUGAAAAGCAGAUAUUUGUUACUGACAGAAGCUCCAACAUGUACUUGUAUGUUGGGUGAAGGUAUAUUAUGUUAACAUGGAAUCGGCAAUUCAGGAGUUGUGCUUACCGUCGGUCACGGACGUUCUUAGACAAUUUAGCCAUAGUCUGGGCCACGUCUUUCAGUAGAUAUCCUACAAUGGCAUUUACAGUGGCAUGGGAGGAUUAGAAGCAAAAGGAUGCUGAGGAGGAUGACAACUCAGCAUCUGUCACACAUACCCUGGGCAUUCCUGUAUCCAUUGUUUUCGCUAUGCUGGAAUGAAAUGAUUAGAAGCAAAAUACAAAGAGACAUAGCUCAGACUUCUGUUAUUGUUCCUAAUCAGGGCUUUAUGAAUGGCAACAAUAUGAAAAUAUUGUGAUAUUGAAAGCUGAAAUGAAUAUGUGUGUCCAUGCUUUGGUGAUAUAGUAAAUUAUGAAGGUUUUAAUUUACAUUGUAUUUUAGACAACAAGAAAUCUGCCUUGAAAUGCUUUUAAGAAGAGAUUAUUCCCAUUACUCCAAUAUAACCCACCAGGGUCCAAGGGAAAGGGUCAUAAAGCGUUGUGGCCCAGUGGAUUAGUCUCUGACUUUGAAACAGAGAGUCUAGGGUUCGAAUCCCAGCCAUUGCGUAAUUUCCUUCAGCAAGAAAUUUAUCCACAUGUUGCUGCACUCAACCCAGGUGAGGUGAAUGGGUACCCGGCAGGAUUAAUUCCUUGAAUGCAUGAGCAUUAGAAAACGGCAUAAAAGUCAAGAGUACAUUAUUUAGACUUAGUGAAUAAAAGUAAUGUUAAUUAGCACUUGACCUAUUCAGAGGUGAUGACAUGAUGCAUUGAAAGGAAGUAUGAACGUUAUUAUAUUGGAAUGUAAGUUACCAUAGCAACCUACAUAAUUGUUAGAGAAGCAAAAAUUCAGGACUGUUUUUCUUUUCCUUUGGUUUGUAAAUGAUGAGCUUUAAGCUCCCAUUUAAGGGGCCGGGAUGUAAAUACGAGCUUCUGAAUUUUUGCGAUGACGUCAGAAGCGAGAGUUUUGGAUUCGUUUCUCGAACAUGCCGAGUGAGGGCGUAGUUGAUUUAUCGAGGAUCUAAAUUUUCUAUGAAGAUAAAUUCAACUUACAACAUUGGCAUCUCCAGAUUAACAUGAAUUUUAGAAACAAUCCCGAAAUGACUUUCAUUCUAUCUCAUAGAAAAUUUAGAUCCUCGAUAAAUCAACUACUACUCAGGUGAUUUUCCUGCAAAACUAAUAAAACAUGAAUCAAUACAUGC
Molecule: RNA transcript, 2014 nt
Organism: Lytechinus pictus (painted urchin)
Lineage: Eukaryota; Metazoa; Echinodermata; Echinoidea; Temnopleuroida; Toxopneustidae
Gene name: N-acetyltransferase 9-like protein
Exons: 9
Source: RefSeq, a predicted model, not a curated record